GUGUGAUUACCAGGGCCCACUCUCUGUCGAGCAGAUUAGGAAUAAAGACGAGAGCAGUUGCUGAAAUUACGCAUGACAUCACCAUGAGAAGCCACGCCCCCUUGGCUUGAGUGGUUAUAUUUACUAUGCAUUUACCAAUGAUUUCAUACAGUUGAUCCAUUGAUAGUACCAUUUGAAGUCAUUUAAACAAUUUCUACGACAAGAUAGCGUUUAACGAAUUCUGAAUGGGGAACACAAACACCAAAGAUACAAAGCGUAAACGCAGUUCAGCAUCUAAGGGUGUUGCUUCCAAGAGUUCGGUUCAAGAGAUUAAGGUCGAGCAGGAGGUUCAAGAGAGCGCUAUGCCGAACAAUGGAGAUUCCAGUAGCCAAACACAAACAGACAGUAAGAGUUCACAAGACAAUCCAGCACCAAAUAGAUAAUGGUAAAGAGGCACCAUAGCGCAGGGGGCGCACUCUCCUAAAAAUACUUGCGUCCCCCAGUUG
This is a long non-coding RNA of Anneissia japonica, 485 nucleotides long. RefSeq lists it as uncharacterized. The record is from RefSeq and is a predicted model, not a curated record. The transcript has 3 exons. Lineage: Eukaryota; Metazoa; Echinodermata; Crinoidea; Comatulida; Comatulidae.